Molecule: long non-coding RNA, 1092 nt
Organism: Cynocephalus volans (Philippine flying lemur)
Lineage: Eukaryota; Metazoa; Chordata; Mammalia; Dermoptera; Cynocephalidae
Exons: 3
Source: RefSeq, a predicted model, not a curated record
AGGUAGAGCGUGGACAGCGACGAGAUGGUAUUGCUUCUCAUGCUGCUGGCGCUUGCGCUGCCCGGCGUCUGCGGAGACUCCGCGACCGGGAAGAACCCAGAGGAGGGGACCUGAGACCUCAGGGAGUUGCUGGAAAGCCAGAGGCGUUUCCUGAAACCCAGACCCAGAGAAACUGAGCACCUCCUGUGUCAGCAUCAUGGAAUGGUGACCAUGAAUGUAAAAGAGAAGUCCCAGGACUGAAGCCCAGUGAAAGAAAACUUGGAAAGGAUGGAAUCUGGAUGUUUGGGCGUUCCCUUGCCAGGCUAUUGGGUCUGUCUGUGCCCACACGAAGGGAGGUGACUUUGUACAAACCAGAUCAAGGCAUCCCUUCCUCAAGAUGUGCUAUUUCCACCUGACAGAAAAUUGCAAAGAUGCAGGUCUGUGCUGAAAACAGUGCCCUCCCGCAUCACACAAAGUGCAUAUCGAUGUGGGGAUGUGGCUUCUACAGGAAUCCAGGCAAGCUCUGAACUUGGUGGUUUUAUUUUUUGUCCAUAUUGAUGAUUUCAUAAAGUAACAGAGGAGAGAUGUUGCUAUGGACUGAACAUGUCUCCCCCCACCAGAUUCUUAUGUAGAAGCGCUAGUCCCCAGUGGGAUGUUAUUUGGAGGUGAGGUCCUUGGGAGGUGAUUAGAUUUGGAUGGAGCCAUGAGGGUGGAACCAAUGAUGGGAUUAGUGUCUCUCUCUCCCUAUCAUGUGAGUACUCAGCGAGAAGGUGGCCUUCUGCAAACUGGGAAGUGGGCCUUCACCAGAUACUGGAUCUGCCAGCACCUUGACUUUGGACUUCCAGCCUCCAGAACUAUGAAUGAUAAAUGCCUGCUGUUUACAUGGCCUCAAACAUCCCUGCAGACACAUCUUUUCUUCCCCUUCUUCUCUGCCCACAGCUCUUCUCUGCAUCCUCAGCUUCCUCACAAAGUGACCAGGUCCUCUUCAGCAGAGAUAAAGCCUGAACUUAAAAGGCCCGCCUGACAGGGCAGUGGAGCCACCAUGCUGAGACUCAAGUGUGCUCCGAGGGUCUCAUUUCUCCUGCCUGUGCCCCAGUGGUUUAGCAAAGUAUU